UGGGGACGUAGCUUAGCUGGUAGAGCGCCGCCUUUGCACGGCGGAGGUCAGGAGUUCGAAUCUCCUCGUCUCCAU
This 75-nucleotide transfer RNA is filed under the name Dictyobacter arantiisoli. RNAcentral's name for it is "tRNA-Ala". It matches the Rfam family "tRNA". Rfam says of the family: Transfer RNA (tRNA) molecules are approximately 80 nucleotides in length. Their secondary structure includes four short double-helical elements and three loops (D, anti-codon, and T loops). Lineage: Bacteria; Bacillati; Chloroflexota; Ktedonobacteria; Ktedonobacterales; Dictyobacteraceae. The record is from RNAcentral.